This 246-nucleotide unclassified non-coding RNA is filed under the name Hevea brasiliensis (rubber tree). Lineage: Eukaryota; Viridiplantae; Streptophyta; Magnoliopsida; Malpighiales; Euphorbiaceae. The record is from RNAcentral.
GCCCUUCUUAUGAAUUUGUCCUGAUUAUUAGCCGAUGGUGACUCCUUUUCUCUGACUUUAUGGCUUAAUAUCUAAAUAUCAUGGUAAAGUUAUAGGAAAACAAUACUAAACUAGCUAAAAUAAGUAUAACCAAAUCGAGACACCUGAUAAACGAGAGCUUGUGACGAGCACAGUCGUCAAAGUUGUGCAACUACCAGAGGGUUCCCAAGCCCUCUGUAGUUGUAGCUCAUUAUUUUUCAAGUUCCU